UAGUCCACGCCGUAAACGAUGGAUACUAGCUGUCCGGUGCCCUGAGCACUGGGCGGCCAAGCGAAAGUGAUAAGUAUCCCACCUGGGGAGUACGUUCGCAAGAAUGAAACUCAGAGGAAUUGACGGGGGCCCGCACAAGCGGUGGAGCAUGUGGUUUAAUUCGAUGAUACGCGAGGAACCUUACCAGGGCUUAAAUGCAUAACGACAGGUCUAGAGAUAGACUUUCCUUCGGGCGUUUUGCAAGGUGCUGCAUGGUUGUCGUCAGCUCGUGCCGUGAGGUGUCAGGUUAAGUCCUAUAACGAGCGCAACCCCUGCCGUUAGUUGCCAGCAUGUAAAGAUGGGGACUCUAACGGGGCUGCCGGUGCAAACCGCGAGGAAGGUGGGGAUGACGUCAAAUCAUCACGGGCCCUUACGUCCUGGGGCCACACACGUGCUACAAUGGCCGGGUACAGAGAGUAGCCACGUCGCAAGGGCGGAGCGAAUCUACAAAACC
This 493-nucleotide ribosomal RNA is filed under the name uncultured bacterium. RNAcentral describes it as "bacterial SSU rRNA". It matches the Rfam family "Bacterial small subunit ribosomal RNA", at positions 791 to 1282 of the family's 1533-position model. The record is from RNAcentral.